RNAcentral lists this ribosomal RNA (468 nucleotides) under uncultured bacterium. Its description in RNAcentral is "partial 16S ribosomal RNA". It matches the Rfam family "Bacterial small subunit ribosomal RNA", at positions 28 to 507 of the family's 1533-position model. The record is from RNAcentral.
GACGAACGCUGGCGGCGUGCUUAACACAUGCAAGUCGAACGGAAAGGCCCUGCUUUUGUGGGGUGCUCGAGUGGCGAACGGGUGAGUAACACGUGAGUAACCUGCCCUUGACUUUGGGAUAACUUCAGGAAACUGGGGCUAAUACCGGAUAGGAGCUCCUGCUGCAUGGUGGGGGUUGGAAAGUUUCGGCGGUUGGGGAUGGACUCGCGGCUUAUCAGCUUGUUGGUGGGGUAGUGGCUUACCAAGGCUUUGACGGGUAGCCGGCCUGAGAGGGUGACCGGCCACAUUGGGACUGAGAUACGGCCCAGACGCCUACGGGAGGCAGCAGUGGGGAAUAUUGCACAAUGGGAGGAAGCCUGAUGCAGCAACGCCGCGGGCGGGAUGACGGCCUUCGGGUUGUAAACCGCUUUCGCCUGUGACGAAGCGGGAGUGACGGUAAUGGGUAAAGAAGCACCGGCUAACUACGUG